Molecule: ribosomal RNA, 387 nt
Filed under: uncultured Clostridium sp.
Lineage: Bacteria; Bacillati; Bacillota; Clostridia; Eubacteriales; Clostridiaceae
Description: bacterial SSU rRNA
Rfam family: Bacterial small subunit ribosomal RNA
Source: RNAcentral
CCGCGUGAGUGAUGAAGGUCUUCGGAUUGUAAAGCUCUGUCUUCUGGGACGAUAAUGACGGUACCAGAGGAGGAAGCCACGGCUAACUACGUGCCAGCAGCCGCGGUAAUACGUAGGUGGCAAGCGUUGUCCGGAUUUACUGGGCGUAAAGGAUGCGUAGGCGGAUAUUUAAGUGAGAUGUGAAAUCCCCGGGCUUAACUUGGGGGCUGCAUUUCAAACUGGAUGUCUAGAGUGCAGGAGAGGAAAGUGGAAUUCCUAGUGUAGCGGUGAAAUGCGUAGAGAUUAGGAAGAACACCAGUGGCGAAGGCGGCUUUCUGGACUGUAACUGACGCUGAGGCGCGAAAGCGUGGGGAGCAAACAGGAUUAGAUACCCUGGUAGUCAAAACA